GAUCCUUUUCAAUUUUUUUGUAUUUAUUUUUAACUUAUUUUUUUAGAAUUUUACAAAAUUUUAGUUAAGAUCAAUGGUUUAUUCAUUAAUUAUUGAGGUUUAAAUCUAUUAUAGGAAUUACUAGGAUUUGGUUUAGGAUUUGGUUAGGGUUUGGUUUAGGGUUUAGGAUUUGGAUUAGGAUUUGAUUAGGAUUUUAUUAGGAUUUAUUUAGAAUUUAGGAUUUGGUUAGGGUUUGGAUUAAGAUUUGAUUUAGAGUUUAGGAUUUGAAUUAGGAUUUGGUUAGGGUUUGAUAAAGGAUUUAGGAUUUGGAUUAGGGUUUGGUUUAGGGUUUAGGAUUUGAAUUAGGAUUUUCUUAGGAUUUGAUAAAGGGUUUAAGAUUUGGAUUAAGAUUUGAUUUAGGAUUUAGGAUUUAGAUUAAGGUUUGGUUAGGAUUUGGUUAGGGUUUGAUUUAGGAUUUAGGGUUUGGUUUAGGGUUUGGUUAGGAUUUGGUUUAGGAAUUGGUUGGGGUUUGGUUUAAGGUUUGUUUAGGGUUUGAUUUAGGAUUUAGGAUUUUAUUAAGAUUUAAGAUUCAAUUACUUUUGGCCUAAAGUUUGAAUGAAGCUCUAUAGGAUUUUAACUAGAAUUAAAUUAAGAUUGAAUUGAGAUGUAUUUGAGUGAUAUUUGUGAUCCUUCUAAUAUUUUUUUAAGAAUUUUUAUUGUUUGUUUGAAAUUUCUUUGAGGUUUUUUUGAAUUUUAUUAAGCUUGCUUAGUAUUAUUAUUGUCUAAUUAGAACAUUGUUAGUAUUCUUUUAGAAUUAGGAUUUUGUUAUUACAAUUUUCAUUCUUCCUUCCACAGCCAGGUGCUCAGAGCAUUCUCAAGCAAGACUUCACAUAUUAUGACACCAUAUUGGGUGAUUGAAGGUUUUUCCAAUGAGU
RNAcentral lists this long non-coding RNA (914 nucleotides) under Physcomitrium patens. Its description in RNAcentral is "long non-coding RNA (PPAT_LNC010113)". The record is from RNAcentral. Lineage: Eukaryota; Viridiplantae; Streptophyta; Bryopsida; Funariales; Funariaceae.